RNAcentral lists this ribosomal RNA (386 nucleotides) under uncultured bacterium. RNAcentral's name for it is "bacterial SSU rRNA". It matches the Rfam family "Bacterial small subunit ribosomal RNA", at positions 30 to 408 of the family's 1533-position model. The record is from RNAcentral.
CCUGAACGCUGGCGGCGUGGCUAAGACAUGCAAGUCGCACGGAGGUAGCAAUACCUCAGUGGCGAACGGGUGAGUAAUGAAUCGCUAAUGUGCCCCGGACUCUGAGAUAGCCGCCCGAAAGGGCAGGUAAUAUCAGAUGAUAUAACUUUUCCGCAUGGAAGAGUUCUCAAAGGUCCGCCGGUCUCCGGUAGGAUGGUCUGGGAGCAGGCGAUUUCGUAUCAGCUAGUUGGUGAGGUAACGGCUCACCAAGGCGACGACGCGUAGCCGGACUGAGAGGUUGGCCGGCCACAUUGGGACUGAGACACUGCCCAGACUCCUACGGGGGCGUGCAGUAACGAAUCUUCCGCAAUGCACGAAAGUGUGACGGAGCGACGCCGCGUGAGGGA